UCAGGUAAGCAAUGUGGCCCAUGGGCCUCUUGUUACUGAACUCUUUGCAAUGUUACAUUUGCAAAAAUAAACUUCCUAGGUAGUAUAUGAAAGUGACCAACAGCUAUAGCUACAUGUGUGGCUCUAUGUCCUGUCCCCUUAGGAUCUGUUCACUUCCUCAUACAACCUUUUGCGGUGUCUGUUGUAGUGGCUCAUCUUACAUCAAAUGGAAUGGAUCCAUGCCAGGAUUCACUUUUCCUUCCCAUGCUGGUUCCAGUCCAGUAAACUGUCACAGUCUGGGAAAUUCUGUCACUGGUGAUGCCGCAGAAAGAAAACACUAUGGAUGCACAUGAUGCUACUUCCUGAAUGGUGCUGAACCUGUUUGUCAACAUGUGGAACCCAUGUGUACUUGAGGGAGAAGUCUCCCUUGAUAAAGUUCAACAAUGGCGGAUAAACAAUGUGGGAUGCUGUCUUGUCAACAACAGUGAAAUUUGACACCUGUAUACCCGUAUUUCUACCAAUUGUCUCAGUCUUCUUUGUUGUGUACAUCAGACAGAUGAUGGACCACUCUACUUCUUUUGACAACAGGUGCCCCUACAGAUUCACAAAGUUCCAAUGUUGAAUGUCCAUGACCCUGGUUGAUCCGCGACAGGAAAAGGAAUAAAGUUGGCAGGAAUUUCCGCACUGUCUUUGGUAGCAGCUGAUGAUGGAACUGACAGCAGUUGACAUGGCCUGUUUCUUCAAAGAUGCACCAGAAGCAGCAGCACUAUCUCCAUCACUGGUGAAAUGGGAAAUGACAAGUGGACGGUCAUCACUUUGCAGCUCAACGAUGCAUUCCGCAGCCCAUCUCUUUUCAUCUUCUAUGGUGUUCUCAGGAGGAAUGGUUGCAAUGCAGUCUUCAUGUCCUAGGCAUGUAACUUCCUUUUCCUUGGUUCUAAAAUAGGUGCCUUUCUUGCAUAGUUUAUUGCCACAAAACACAGCCACACCAUUCUUCUUGGUAACAUUUUCACUUAAGGUCAGACGACACGUUCCUCAAUUUUAGAUAACUUUUUCCAGGAAAUUGUUAAUGGUUUACUACUACUUUGACAAGCCUUCUUGCAAAAAAUUAGGGUACCUUCCCAAGCAUUUCUUCAAAAUACUAGAGUAUGCAAUUUCCUAUAUAAUCUUCUUGAAAAUACACUUGAAUUGCUGAUAUAAAAAUAAAUUCAUCUACACCACAGCGAUAUUCACUAUAUUAGAACUACAUCUCUGCCGGGGCGGGGCUUUGAACUCACGACCUCUAUAACCUAUAAACGCUUCUGACAGUGAGCUGCCACGGUUCUAACCACUCGACCAUCU
This is a long non-coding RNA of Magallana angulata, 1317 nucleotides long. RefSeq lists it as uncharacterized. The record is from RefSeq and is a predicted model, not a curated record. NCBI's taxonomy places the organism in Eukaryota, Metazoa, Mollusca, Bivalvia, Ostreida, Ostreidae. The transcript has 7 exons.